GCUCGCUCUCUCUGUCUUUCUAGCUUCCAUGUAAAGACAUAGCAAGAAGAUGGCUAUCUGUGGGCCCAAAAUUAGGCCCUUACCAGGAAUUAAAUUGGCAAGAUCUUGAUCUUGGAUUUCCCAGCCUCCAAAACUGUAAAAAAUAAAUGUUUCUUGCUUAAGGCACCCAGUUUAUGGUAUUUUGUUAUAACAGCCUGAGUAGACUAAGAUGGUUCUGCAUUUCUUUCAGUGGCACCAUAUUCCCAGUCAGGCAGGCUGGAUGUUUGGAAAUCAUCCUCAACUUCUGUUUCUGCUCUCACAAUCCAUUACUAAAUUCUGUUCUCUUUUUUGGUAUUCUUGCUUUGUAUUCAGUACCACAGCACCGUGCCAUUUAUUGUCUGGAUUAUUUAUAUAAUAUCCUCUUUGGUUCACUUUUUGUCUAUGAGUUCCUGGAGACUUAAAGAAGAGGAAUUUGAGACACAACAAAGUAUCCUCCUUCAGAAAUCUCCAGCGGCUUUCCAUUGCUUGAAGAAGAACAUUCAAACUCCUCAGCAAAGAAUUUACAGCACCCCAUGAUAAGGCCUCAAUCACCUCUUUAGCCUCAGCUCCUAAUAUACCCAGCCAUAUGCCUUUUACUGCAGCCAUGUGGGUUCACCAAACAUGUUUUCAGGUUCCUGGGUCUUCGCAUCUCUGCUUGGUAGAGUUCUUGACUUUUCAUCCUGUUCUGAAAUCCUACUCAUUCUUCAAGACUCUUUUGAAGUGCUUCCUCCCUCUGGCCACCCCAUGAUUUGUCUCAUUAAAUGCUUAUGUUUCAAACACUGCAAAGUAUUUUGUUUCCACCUUUGUCGUGUCACUUAAUUUUCAACAUGAUUGUCAUCUUGUUUAGAAUGACAGGUUUGUAAGGACUGGGAUCUUUGUACAUGGUGCUUUGUACAUCGAAGUUGCUCAAUAAAUGUUUAUUGAACUUAACACCUUUGGAGAAAGAGUUGACUGGAACCUAUAAGCAAGACUGAAAUUUAGGUAAAUGGGAGGGCAUUGAAAUAGAAAGUGAGUGUAUUCAUGAGAAAACAGUUUUCUCUUUGUCUUUUGCCCAAGUAAAUCCUCCUUAGGAUAGAAUCAAUGCUUUUUUACCCUGGAGGUACACAUUCAAGUCACAACAUCUUUGUGUGAUCUACACCAGACUUAUGACUUUCAUACUUCAGAUGUAUACUACAAAUAACAAACACAGAAUUCUUAUUAGUCGUUUAAAUAUUUGUUGGUUUUAUGUCAUUCUGCCAUUCUUGGUUUAAUAUAUCUGCUACAUAAUAGAGGAUUUGUCUGGUCUUUGCCCCAGGUUUCUGACAUGAAGCUUCUAAAACCCUUGGAAUUUCCGGAGAGAUAGAAGUUGUUUUGUUAUUCCUGAGCCUCCUGGAUGGCUCCUGAGUUUAUGCUAAUGAGGUGACUCAUGGUGGGCUAUUCGAUAGCUUUGGGACAGGGGCUGGUCACCAGAAAGACCAAUCAUGUGAUAAGAGGGUUGAAACUUGAAACUUUGAUCCAGUCUGACUUCCAGGGAGGACAAGGUGUGGAGGCUGAGUUCAGUCAUGUUGCCAAUGAUUUAAUCAAAUAUGCCUACCUAAUGGAACCUCAAUAAAAACUGAACACCAAAGCUUAGUGGUGCUUCCUGGUUGGUGAACACAUCCAUGUGCUGGGACGGUGCCAUGACUUGAUUUGAUGGGAAGAUGAUAAGGAAGUUAUGCACUAGGGACCCUCCCAGACCUUCCCCAUGUGUCUUUUCAUUUGGCUGAUCCAGAAUGUAUCCUAUAUAAUAAAACUCUAAUCCUAAGUACUACACUUUCCUGAGUCUGAGUUGUUCCAGUGAAUUAUUGAACCUAAGAGGUCAUGGGAAUCACCAAAUUUAUAGCUAGUUGUUCAGAAGUGUGGGUGACCUGGAGACCCCCAAAGUACAGCUGGAAUCUGAAGUAAGGGAAGAUUUGUGAAGGGUUAAGCCCUUAACUUAUGGAUCCUGCACUAACUCUAGAUGGUCAGUGCCAAAAAUAACUUUUAGUACACCAAUUUUGGUUGAAAGAAAAAUGUCACAGAAUGAAAACCAUUUUAGUAAAUAGCAGUAAUUCAGUCAUUUUUGGUGGAAAUUCUUUGGUGUGAUCUAAACCAAAAUGAGAUCAGCUUUGCUUCAAAAAGGUUUUGCCAAAUAAGAGAACCAGCUGAAUAUUUAAUGUUUAAAGUAUCAAUUUCUAUGCAUUUUUUCCUUUUUCAUAGUGUUCAGGAAUUAAUUUUGUUAGCAGUCAAGAUUGCUUAGUCCUCAGAGUUACAUUUCCAUUUUGCAAAGUAACAAAUGGUUGGUUUUUACUCUUAGUUUCCCUUUCCCCACCCAGCAUGUAAACAACCUGCCAUAUUGUUGCAGAAAAGCAAAUAGGGUUAAAACUGGAGACAAGACUUCCAUCAUUUUUGCCAAGCAGAGAGGGAAGAACUCAGCAAUCACAUAAUUUUGCUCAAACUAAGUGCAUCUGAGAACUAUUCAAAUGUUCACAGGAGGACAUACGACCUCUCUCUUCCCCGCUACUCUUUGGAUAUUACACUUUGUUAUUUGUCAUCAAAAUUGGCCUUUUCCUUUAUCUCUUUGUGGUAAAACUUGAUGGCAUCUGAAUUUACACUGUCUCCUUGACAGUUGUGCUGCUUCUUUCUGGCAGUUUCUACUUUUCCUUUCAUUUUAUUAUCCUGCUUUUUAUUUCCAUUUUGUUUUUAUAGUCCCUGUGUACUGUCCUGACCUUUAGAUGGUCUUACCUUCAACACAGCAAGGAUGUCACACUAUCACGUACAAAUAACAAUGUGCUUUCUUAGCUCAUUUCCCUAGCAUAACUCUUUUUGACAUGUCAAAAGCAAGUUUUUGAGAAAUCAAUUGUGUUUUUAUUUUGCCCUAAGGGUUCUUAACCCAAUGUCUCUUCUUUUAUUCUUAUUUUAUUAUCCAAGGGAAAAAAUUUUACUUAGUUUAUUUUUUUUAAGCCAGUACUUUGCUCAUCAAUUGUUUGUUGAAUUUAUUCCCACUGGAUGAGUAGAUGUAUUCUUUUGAAAUAAUGUGUCAAAUCUUUGUAGCCAAAGAUUAAAAAACUAAAAGUGAAAUACAUCUUAUGAGAUGUGCUUGGAAGAUCUUAUUUCUUUGCAGAGAACAACUUAUUUUUUUCAGCGAAUGUGUUUUUCUCUGGAAAACAUAAUUAGUUAACAGUAGGGGGUCAAGUGUCACUGAACAGAAUUGCUCAUUCAAGUAAGAUGAAUGAAUUUUGGUUUGAGGGCAUCAUAGUAUGCUUUAUUUAUAGUUGACUAGGUUGCUCCAGUUACUGAAGAGCAUUCAUAUGCUACUUAGUGUAGCAAGACAGUGCAUAAACCCUGUUCGUCACAAAUUUUUUUACAUUAUAAUUCUGUUUUAUUGUAAGCAAUAGGUUUGGAAUAAUAAAUAAUUUUACAGGUUCAAACUCAAAGCAUUCAUUGGUUUAUUAAGAUAAAUUUGCAAAGCUAAUAUUGUUGGCUGCUUUCCUAGUCUAUGGUUUUGUUCUAGUUCUCUUAACUGUAUUCUUUUGUCCACAUUUUGUAUAGGAAAUAUACUAUUUUCUCCCCUUCUGUGUAUUCUUGUGAAGAGGGGAUAAAUAUCAACAGUGAUGGAAUCUACUCUAAUUGCUUGCCAAGACUAAAAAUCCAUAAACAACUCUGUUUGUCAAGUCAAAGGAAUGCUGCAUAAAAAUUUUUGUACAGACAGAAAGAAGAUUACGACAAAUUUACAAAAGCAAUCUUUUAUUCUUCUUUACAUAAAACUGCAUAUAUAACUGCAUUAAGAGAGAAGACAAUAUCCAGGAAAAUAGUCCAGGACUGGCACAACUGUUCUAGGAAGUUACCAAGGCUCUGCAAAGGCAUCUGAAGGGAUGUGGAGAAACAAAGAAGAAUUAUAUACAAUUCCUGAUCUUAAGACAUAUAUUGGCAUUGGAAGAUAAUUACAAGUUUAAAUGACUGACGUAAAAUUACAUACACGGUGCACUGGCAAGAUAGCAGAAAGGAUGUCCUAGUUGAGGUUCUACUGAAGCAGACCCUAACAUUCAAAUGUCACACCUGCAGAAGUAGUGUGUAUGACUUCCAGGGAAUGUUCUUAAAGAGUAGAAACAUGCCUUUCUUUUCUAUUUCUGCCCCUCUGCCUGGAAUGGGGACUGAAUAACUGGAGCUCUAGGAACCAUUGUGUACUGUGAGGGAACCUUCGGGAUGAGUAAAUAAGGUAGGUCUCUGAUACUAUGAAGGGCCAUGUCCAUCCUGGAAUGAAUAUCUUUGGAUCCUUGAAUGUGACAGUAAAGGAAAUUUCUCUCUUGGUUAAAUCAUAUUCAUGACUUAUUUUGUUUGCUACUCAUAGCUGAAAUAAAUCCUAACUAAUCCAUGUGUAUCAUUUAAUGUGAUCCUGACAAUGACCCUCUGAGGUAACACUAUGAUGAUCUCCAUUGGCAGGGGAAGAAAACAAGGCCCAGAGAACCUAAGUCACUUUCUUGGGGUCACAUAGCUAAUGAAUGGUAAAGCUGGGGUUCUAACACCCCCUCUUUGGCACUAUACUAUAUGCACCAUAUAUAAGAUGAACUGGACAAAAGAACCCCACUGGUCUUAUGUCUGUAGUUAGGACACAAGAACCCAGCUGGUCUUAUGUCCACAGUUAGGACACCUUUCUAAUAAGACUAAAUGAUGAAUCUGACUCUUUAGUGGCCUGGUUAGUAAAUGUGGAUUGUUCAGUGCAAAGCCCUUGCAUAAUCAGAUUCCUGGUAGAGAAUACAUGAUGUUUUGGUUAGGAUGUUUUUUUGACGUCAAGUUACUAAAAAUUCAAUUCAAAUUGGCUUGACUAAUUAAAAAAUUUGUUAGCUCACAUUAAAGGAGAUUCAGACAUAGGGUGGUCUUCAGGGUUGAUUCAGCAGCUAAAUGAUGUUAUCAAGAAAAAAGGUUCUUUUCUCCUCUACUCCAUGACCCAUAGCAUCAGCGUCAUCUGUAAACCAGUUUUCCUUGUGGUAACAAGGAGGCUGGUUGUAGCAACCAGGAUUACUCACUGUCUUAUUCACAUCUAGCAGAAAGAGAAAGACAUCUCCUGUCAUUCUUUUAAAAUUAAGGUAGAACUUUCCCAGAAGCUUCCUGCCAACCUUGUCCUGUCCAGUUGGUUGUAGGUAUGGUCUCAAGGGGGACAUCAACACAUAAAUGGUAAUUGGCACCAUCAAUACAUAAACGGUAAUUGGCGCCAUGGGGGUGGGUGACGUGUAGGGCUGCCUGCUGGCAAGCACGUUAAUUGUGAUGUUUAGGAAGGGACUCUCCCUCUGGACCAAAUAAUUUGAAAUCUGCCCUACAUCCCGUUUUCCCCCAAGAUUGGCCCUGCUCCUGCAUUAGGACUCCAGUGGUGAAUAACUCCCCUCCUCCCCUGACCAGGUGUCUCCAUACAGGAAACUCCCUUCAUAACGAUAUGUGGCAACAGGGAUGAGAUGAUCCUGAGGAGUGGCAGACUGAGAAAAGAAGAGGGCUUUGGGAAGAACCUCAAGGACCACAUCUCCUUUUCACAGCCUGGUGUCCAGAACUGUAGAGAUGCUCCGGCCAUGACAGGUCCAUAGCAGAGUGAGCCUAUCACCCCCUGCAUCCUAAAUACCCUGUCUCUGUUAACACAGCCUGAUACUGCAUCAGAUUUUGGAGGAUGACAAAAAGCUGUCAAUUUAUGCUAACUUGUACUCCUACAUAUUUUUCAUAUAGGCUACUUCUCAGAUAUAUCCCUGCCAGGCUUGCUGUAUGGAGGGGGAUUGUCUAUUCUUAUACAUAGUCCUCUGUCUCUCUGAAGCAGUGGAAUGUGUGAAAUGCGGUUAACUCUCCCUAAGCCCUGCUGUGAGGACUCCUUUACCACCUCCUUUACCCUCUUCUGCAAUGUGCUCCACCUUCCAGGACUCAGUACUUCUCUACCAGCCCCUUCAAGUGCAUUAUUUUUCCUUCCUUCCUUCCUUCCUUCCUUCCUUCCUUCCUUCCUUCCUU
Molecule: non-coding RNA, 6000 nt
Organism: Chlorocebus sabaeus (green monkey)
Lineage: Eukaryota; Metazoa; Chordata; Mammalia; Primates; Cercopithecidae
Source: RefSeq, a predicted model, not a curated record